Long non-coding RNA from Mesocricetus auratus (golden hamster), 1202 nucleotides. RefSeq lists it as uncharacterized. The record is from RefSeq and is a predicted model, not a curated record. The transcript is spliced from 6 exons. Lineage: Eukaryota; Metazoa; Chordata; Mammalia; Rodentia; Cricetidae.
UGUCUCGGAACUGAUGGACGUCAGCACAGCUGCAGGCCUCAGGACAGAGGGGAAUGUGAGCUUGAAGACAACCAGUUCCUCGAUAUCCUGUGGAAGAUACCCAGUGGAAGGGUCUGGCAUCAUUUUCACAAGCUGAGACCAGACACGGUUGCCAACAGAAUUUCCUGUGGGAAGUUGGAGGAGGAGGGAAAGCCAAGCCUCACACCACUCAAAAAAGUCAAUUCCAUGAUCGAUAUAGAAGUAAAUGAGAAUGAUGAACGAUGAACCUUCUAGAAGGCGACAGAAGAUCUCUUUGGCCUUGAGGUGUCCCACAAGCAGACCAAGACACACAGCUGAAACAGAUGUGCAGAGGGCCCAGGUCAGUCCCAUGCAAGCUCUCUGGUCGGCAGUUCAGUCUCCAUGAACGUCCAUGAGCCCAGGCCUCCUGACUGUCCAGUCUCUGGGUCCUAGUCGUUGUCAGAGGUGGAUUUCCUCUCAUAGUGUGGGUCUCAAUCUGGACCAGUAAUUGGUUGGCUACUUCCAUAAUGUCUACACCACCAUUGUGCCAGCAUUUUCAGGCAAGGCAAAUUAGCCACUUUGGAAAUCAAUAUGGCAGUUGCUCAGAAAAUUGGGAAUCAGCCUACCUCAAGACACAAUGAUACUACUCAGGUCACGCAGAGGCAACGUCUAAUUUGCCAUCUUACCUGGCAUCUUUAAAGAAAUAAUAUUCAUCCUUACGCAAGAAAAAAUAUACGGUAGCAUGAACUGCAAAUUAAGUUGGUCGAACCGUAACUUUGUGCCUUGAAGUAGUUGGUCCGGAGCUCACAGAUCUGGCUUGGGGAGGUCAUCGGUAAGCACUUCCCCAUAACAGCUUUUCUAAGAUGACCUGUGAACCCCCUUUGAAGAUACCAUCACAUCUCAGAUACUGCACAGCUAUUCACCAGAGCAUUUCACAGAAUCUAUACAUGGCAAGAAAAAUCAAUGACCGGACAUCAGUAAACAGAAGUGUUUGACUUCAUUCCAAGAAGAGACGUUUUGGACAGGGUGUUGCUUUCACCCAGGUCUCCCUGCAUCUAGAGAGAAUCUCAGAUGCUGCGUUGCUCCACCCGGAAGAUAUUGAGUUAACCAGUGUGCUUGGGUUGCCAAAGACAUAAACAGAAGUCGGAAAAAGUGGGUAAGCUCAUUUGAUAGUUGGAGUGACUUUCAAACAUGGCUUAAUAAAG